CCGAACUCACCGCCGUUGAAAAGUUGGGAGAUGAGGUAGGUAUAGGGGUGAAACGCCAAUCGAACCCGGAGAUAGCUCGUUCUCUCCGAAAUGCAUUUAGGUGCAGCCUUGUUUGUUUAUCUGCGGGGGUAAAGCACUGAAUAGUCUAGGGGGCAUACCGCUUACCAAAACUAAUCAACCUCUGAAUACCGUAGAUCUAGAGAACAGGAGUGAGACCAUGGGUAAUAAGAUCCUUGGUCGAGAGGGAAACAGCCCAGACCACCAGCUAAGGUCCCAAAUUAUAUCUAAGUGGGAAAGGAGGUGGAGAUUCACAGACAACCAGGAUGUUGGCUUAGAAGCAGCCAUACAUUUAAAGAGUGCGUAAUAGCUCACUGGUCGAGAGUCUCUGCGCCGACAAUGUAACGGGGCUAAGAUAUAAACCGAAGCUGUGGAAUGUGCCUUAUGGCAUAUUGGUAGGAGAGCGUUGUGUAGGCCGGUGAAGGUGUACCGAAAGGAGCACUGGAGGUAUCACAAGUGAGAAUGCAGGAAUGAGUAGCGAAAAAGAGGGUGAGAAUCCCUCUCGUCGGAAGUCCAAGGUUUCCAGGGCAAUGCUUGUCAUCCCUGGGGAAGUCGGGACCUAAGUUGAGGCUGAGAAGCGUAGGCGAAUGGAAAACAGGUUAAUAUUCCUGUACCAGUUAUGUUUUGUGAUGGAGGGACGCAGAAGGGUAGAUACGCUAGGCGACGGUUGUCCUAGUGCAAGCAUGUAGUGUGGUCAGAUAGGAAAAUCCGUUUGAUUAGACAUGAGGUGUGAUGCGGAGCACGUAAGUGCGGAAGGUAUUGAUCCCACGCUGCCAAGAAAAGCUUCUAACGUUAAGACAUAACUGCCCGUACUGCAAACCGACACAGGUGGACAGGGUGAGAAACCUAAGACGGACAGGCUAACUCUCGCUAAGGAACUCUGCAAAAUGGCCCCGUAACUUCGGGAGAAGGGGUGCCUUUGAUGGUGAUGGUUCACGCAACCUGAGCUGUCGGAGGCCGCAGUGAAAAGACUCAAGCGACUGUUUAACAAAAACACAGGUCUAUGCUAAGCUGAAAGGCGAUGUAUAUGGGCUGACACCUGCCCAGUGCCGGAAGGUUAAGAGGAGGAGUGAGAGCUCCGAAUUGAAGCCCCGGUGAACGGCGGCCGUAACUAUAACGGUCCUAAGGUAGCGAAAUUCCUUGUCGGGUAAGUUCCGACCUGCACGAAUGGUGUAACGAUUUGAGUGCUGUCUUGGCGGGAGGCCUGGUGAAGUUGUAUUAUGGGUGAAGAUACCCAUUACCUGCAGCAGGACGGAAAGACCCCAUGGAGCUUUACUGUAGCUUGGUAUUGGGUCUUGAUGCUGUGUGUAUAGGAUAGUUGGGAGACUUUGAUUGUAGGCCGCCAGGUUUACAUGAGUCGUUGGUGGAAUACCAACCACGCAGUAUCGGGAUUCUAAUCUGGUGUGUGUAACACUGGAGACAGUGCUAGGUGGGCAGUUUGACUGGGGCGGUCGCCUCCGAAAGAGUAACGGAGGCGCUCAAAGGUUCCCUCAGGUUGGAUGGAAAUCAACCGCAGAGUGCAAAGGCAUAAGGGAGCUUGACUGCAAGACUGACAAGUCGAGCAGGUGCGAAAGCAGGACUUAGUGAUCCGGCGAUUCCGAAUGGAAGGGUCGUCGCUCAACGGAUAAAAGCUACCCUGGGGAUAACAGGCUGAU
RNAcentral lists this ribosomal RNA (1712 nucleotides) under wastewater metagenome. RNAcentral describes it as "bacterial LSU rRNA". It matches the Rfam family "Bacterial large subunit ribosomal RNA", at positions 774 to 2486 of the family's 2925-position model. The record is from RNAcentral.